ACAGCAGCCGCCACGGGAACACGUAGGUGGCGAGCGUUGUCCGGAAUUAUUGGGCGUAAAGGGAGCGCAGGCGGACAUAUAAGUCCAUCUUAAAAGUGCGGGGCUCAACCCCGUGAGGGGAUGGAAACUGUAUGCCUUGAGUGCAGGAGAGGAAAGCGGAAUUCCCAGUGUAGCGGUGAAACGCGUAGAUAUUGGGAGGAACACCAGCGGCGAAGGCGGCUUUCUGGACUGCAACUGACGCUGAGGCUCGAAAGCCAGGGGAGCGAACGGGAUUAGAUACCCCCGUAGUCCCUGUCUCUUAUACC
Molecule: ribosomal RNA, 305 nt
Filed under: uncultured bacterium
Lineage: Bacteria
Description: partial 16S ribosomal RNA
Rfam family: Bacterial small subunit ribosomal RNA
Source: RNAcentral